GCCAGGCAGGGUGGUGCAUGCCUGUAGUCCCAGCUACUUGGGAGGAUGAGGUGGGAGGAUCGCUUGAGCCCAGGAGUUCUGGGCUGUGGUCGCUAUGCCAAUCAGGUGUCCGCACUAAGUUCAGCCUCAAUAUGGUGACCUCCCUGGAGCAGGGGACCACCAGGUUGCCUAAGGAGGGGUGAACCGGCCCAGGUCAGAAACAGAGCAGGUCAAAACUCCCGUACUGAUCAGUAGUGGGAUCGCACCUGUGAAUAGCCACUGCACUCCGGCCUGGGCAACGUAGCAAGACCCCAUCUC
Molecule: signal recognition particle RNA, 297 nt
Filed under: Cebus imitator (Panamanian white-faced capuchin)
Lineage: Eukaryota; Metazoa; Chordata; Mammalia; Primates; Cebidae
Description: Metazoan signal recognition particle RNA (ENSCCAG00000002074.1)
Rfam family: Metazoan signal recognition particle RNA
About the family: The signal recognition particle (SRP) is a universally conserved ribonucleoprotein.
Source: RNAcentral